UCCAAGCCCACUGCGAGACUGGCUUUGCUGCCAAAAGCACACUUGAUCAAAUCCCUGCACUCCAGGGGCUUAUUCAGGUUCAGCCACAGACUGAUAGCUGACCAACCCCUGGAGAACUGAGAAAUACACAUUUGGAAGACACUUGGAGUCUGUGUUGAGAAAGCAGACAGAAAGGUUGCCGGGCAAUUGGGAAACAAGCCGAUAGGAGCCCUGUGGAUUGAAGACUGAGGUGCACUUGGAGAUCUUCAUUUCCUGGGAUGCAUCAGUGUUAUGUGGAGCUUAAUUAUGGCUAACCCUGGGAGAAAAUAGUCUGAAGGUUUUCCUUCAAGAGAGACUAACUCAGCAUGAAGCCCUGCCCUUCAGAGUCUCCCAUCUUCUACCAUUAGAAAGUGGGGAUUCUCCAUGAGCAAAAGCUUCCUGAAGAUACACAAGGGAUGUAGACACAUCACCCCAAGGGCCAGUCCAUUUACAGAAGGAAAGAACUGUGUGAGGCUGAGAUGCCCAGUAUCUUUCAAACAUGCAGGUUAGACAAAUGAUUCUCUUGCAGAGACCGACCAUAUGGAUUGAUUUAGCAGCAUUUCACCGGCUACCUAGAGACAUAACUUGAGUCAUCAUGUAUAAAUUACUGAACUCUCCACCGCAAAAAGGAAAAAACUGUUUUCUUGCACAGCAGUAGCAAUUAAUGUGCAAUGUGUUUAUGGAGCUUAAUAAUACAUGGCCCAGCACCCAUUUCUGUAUGCAAUACCAUUAUCUCGAGAGAGAGAGAGAGAGAGAGACUGAGCUGGUGUCAUCAGCAUACAAGACGUGGAUGAUGGAUUCAUCGAUGACUGAGCCUGGCCUUAUUACAGCAAACAAAUUAGACACCGUGGAAUCUAUUGCCAUAUAGACAGGACUUUCUUCUCUUCAAAUAUAUGUCAUAAUUAAUAGCGGUAACCUUUUGGUAACACUGAAAAACAACUUGCAAUUAACGGCCCCUCUCUUCCUUUAGGGCCUACACACAUAAGUGGUUGUUCAAGGCUUGGCCCAGCUCAGUGGAGUGGAGCAAGUUCUAGAUACCCUCUAAAACUGAGAAAGUGGAAAGUGGCGGCCAGUAAGGUCAAUCACUUCUUUACCUUUCUCAUAUUUCAUGCCAGAGUAAGGCAGAAAGGAAAGUCGUGAGUCGCCUACAACUAAUUUUCCAGCCACUUCUCUCUGCCAGGCAUUGUUCUAGGCACUGGGGACAGAGCAAAGAACAAGACAAAAGGACACUGCCCCCCCCCCAUCUCUGUGAGUAGGGAAUGACAUCAGACAUGUAAACAAAUAAAUACUUUUAAAAUUCUGAUAUGUAGCACGCUGAAGAUAAGAUAGGGCACUUUUGAAUCUCUAUAUUUUUAAAUGACAAAUAGGGAUUUUAACAAAAGGAGAUAUUUUAUGGAUUCAGCACCCACGUAAUUAAAUAAUCACCAAUAUAAUUCCCAAGAUUCCAUGACUUCUUUAUUUCUUCUUCCCUGAAUUUUAAAAAUAUAAUGUCAGUUCUGAAGAGAAACAGGUAGUGCUUGUGAUUUAAUAAUUUUAAAAGACUUAACUCUUUUAAAAUAAUUACUGUGGAGUUCACAACAGCCCAGGUUAACCAAAAUAAAAUGGAUUGUCAAAUACCAAAAAGAAAUAGGUAUUAUUUUAUAUUUUAAAAAUACUAGCUCCAGUAUGGGGGGGGGCGGUGCUAGGACACAUCAGAAUCCCAGGAAUACUAUCUCCUAUAUGGAUAUACAUGAUAUUGCAUAUCCAUACAUGAUAUUGUAUACUAUAGUAUACUAUAUCCAUACAGGUUGAACCACUCACAGAAUGUAAGACCUACACAACAUUUUGUUUCCCUAAAAUAUUUCAUCUCUAUGGUCCGUUAUAAUUGAUAUCUAUACAGGCAAGUUGAAGUUCACCUUUAAAGCAAUUGUCCAUUAAAAAAUAGUGAGGCAAAGUCCUUCUCACAUGAAUUCUCUGGAAUCUUCCUUUAGUUUUUCACUCUAAUUUUAAACAUGGCCUUGCCCUAUUUGUACGUGAAGCAAGAGCAUUGUAACCAAACCCUGUGUUUCUUAGUCCCUCUGUGGUAGAAAACUGGGACAGUUGGGUUGGUUAUGAAAUGUGUCUCUGUAACUGGGAAUUAAUCCGCACUGAUUUACUCUUUUCUAUCUCUCAUAACAAUGCCGCUCCAUGAAUCCCAAUGUCCUUUUUGAGUCACAGGAGAGGAGAGUUAUGCAUUGGCAAUGGCUAAUAACCCUGGGCACGUUCGUGAAACUCAUGGCAAUGUACUCUGCAAAUCACCUUCAUCUCAAAUGUAUGUUACAGGCAGGUAAAAGUCAUGAAUUACUACACUAAGUAAAUACUAAUUCAAAGGAGUACAUGAUGACACCCAUGGUACUUUAGUAAAACCAAGUAGUUUUACUUUCUACCUCUUACUUCUUUGCAGAGGGAGAUGGUUCCACAGGCCUGUUCACCCUCAGAUCCCUUCAUCGCCCUCCCCUGUGGAGGCUGCCCACCACCGGAUGCCUCACUAGGCUGACUGCCAACUGUAUGCAGUCAGUGAGAGCAGAUGGCCCAAGAAUGUAGACCAGAAGAUAGGGAAAACCCACCACAUUUCUCUCCCUGUCUCUGGUUUGGGCAUCAGAUUUGGCAAUAGAGAGUCAGCUCUUCCCAGCUUGGUUCCAGCUUCGAUCUGGAGGCCCCAACCCUGUCGUUCCGGCAACUCCACCUCCUCUCUGGGGUGGGACCAACUUCCUACUGUUGGCUAUUCUCUGAUUUGCCUCUUUAUUCCCUGUUGAGCUUCUUAGCUCUUCCAUCAUCAAUGCAAUGGGUUCCCUGCAUUAAAAUUCCUCUGUUUUUGAUAAUAAGGAUAGUUUCUGUUUAUUUUGGUUGUAUACUAAUUGACACAGAGAGUUUGCAAGAAAAAUGCAAUUUGGUUCAUAUGGGGUACCUACUGUACACCAAGCAUUGUGCUAUACACCAGGGAGAUCAUGUUGCAUAAAAUACCAGAUCUGCCACUGAGGAGGUCUGAGUCUAGUCAACAGGCCAUUUCACAAUUAUCUGGCCAGCAUUAUGACAGGGCCAGACUAGAGGACUUUGGAAACUGUGAGAAUGGGUUCUUAGCUGGAUCUGGGCUUCAGGGAAUGCUUCCUAGAGUUGGUUGAGCUGAACCUUGAAGGAUGAAAGUUAGCCAGGUGAACAGAUGCUGGAAGGCUCUUUCAGGCAGAGGGAGUAGCAUAAGUAAUUGCACCAAAGCAUUAAAUUGAAUGGGGUUGGUGUCAGAAUAGAGCAGAUGGAGCAGCUAUGGAAUGGAAGCAGAACAGUAUCAUUAGACCUCAGGGUAUGAGGCCAGAGAACACGAAAGGAGGUCAGAGAUGUAAGGCAGGUUAAAAAGCUUCAAUUCUCUUCAAUGCACAAUUAGGAGUAAUUGAUGAUUUUUAAAUCAGUGCAACCACAUGGUCACAUUUACAACCUGUAAUUUAAAGGAACCACUCAGGUCAGACUAAUAAAUAGUAACUCCAAAAGAGACAAAAUAGAGGAAAGAAACAAACAAAAGAAUUACUUGAGCCAGAUUAUGCUAAUAAUUCAAUUCACCCUACCAGCAUUGAGUGCUUGGGUACC
Long non-coding RNA from Mustela lutreola (European mink), 3615 nucleotides. RefSeq lists it as uncharacterized. Lineage: Eukaryota; Metazoa; Chordata; Mammalia; Carnivora; Mustelidae. The transcript is spliced from 3 exons. The record is from RefSeq and is a predicted model, not a curated record.